Molecule: long non-coding RNA, 1511 nt
Organism: Panicum virgatum (switchgrass)
Lineage: Eukaryota; Viridiplantae; Streptophyta; Magnoliopsida; Poales; Poaceae
Exons: 2
Source: RefSeq, a predicted model, not a curated record
UCCCUUUCACCGGUUAGAUAAUCGCUGCCUGCUCGCAAUCGCAGUUCAUCCCCAACCCGCGGCUCUUCCCAACCGCGGCGGCCUGCGCACGGCCCCCUCCCUCGACCGCCCAUCCAACGAGCUGAGUUGCCGCCGGCCAGAGCCUCGUCGCGCAGUCACCCGGCGCCGAAUAGCAGCACGUCGACGCCGCGCAGCAGAGGCUCAUGACCCAGGUACUCGCGGCCCAAGGUUUGGCGGCGAGACUUCUUCUACCCAGGAACUCGCCACCGCGAAGCACUCCCUGGGUGGCGUGGAACCCCAGCGUCGAGCAGCAGGGGAAUCGCCUACAUUGCGCCGGCAAGGCUUAGAACUUUAGAAGAACACCAAGGGUUCUCGCGAUCGGGUGCUUGGCGCCACCCCUGUUCCGCUCGGCAUCACAAGCCUGUCGCUUCGGCUAUGGACGCGGUUGGUUCAUGCAGAGUCUGAGACUCUGCUCUCCAAGGUUACGAUCGAGCUCGAUGGCGUCCCUGCGCACGCCUGGGACCUCUACACUGCCAGCAAGCUUCUCGCUGGGCACUUUUGGAUGCAACUCUGAGCAUGGAUGACAUGUCCACGUUCAGGCUUACUGCUCGGACCAAGGAUCCGGCUGCCAUCCCCAUCUCCAGGAUGAUGUGUCACUCUAGGUAAUCGAGUCUAUGAAACUUCCACAGAGAAUAUAAGGGGCCGGAGGAAGUAGUUUUCAAUCACACUUGCUGGGGGGGAGGGGGGGAGGUUAUUUUAUAGGAUGAGUAAUGUAUCUAAAAUUUUCUAAAAUAUAUUCUUUUGGUAUGUUCGAGAGAAGAGAGAAGAAAUAAGAGUAGUAAUUUGUAUUUUUCAGGCAUCUGAAUUUGUUGAAACUGACAGGAUCAAAGGAUAACUCUGAAAUAAUUUUGCGGGUUUUCGGGGGAGCUGAAAAUACAUUAAUACUACUGCUUUAUUUAUAAUACUCCAUGUUAAAGCAACAUAUCUUGGCCGGGUUGCUAUCGUGGUGCUCGUCUGCGGACGGCUCGCUCCGCCGUCGUGGCCGCGCCGGCGAUGCCUCACAGCAUCGUCAAUUCGUCAGGCAGGACCAGCAUUGUGGCGGUCUCUGGAAUUGGAGGGCACAGGAUGGUGUGCAGAGGGCGGGUUGCUGCCAUGCCUGGAUGGACGACGACGGACGGGUGGCGGUUAAACCAGGCGGCAGAGGCAGAGCGGAGUCUGGGAAGGCACACCGGCGGCGGGGUGAAACUGCAACUGGUGGGUGGAAGAUCAAGAGGCUUCGAGGGAUUGGACGGAAAGCGAGGUGAGUUUGGGGGUUGUUCUGCUGCUUCGUCGCCGUCUGAACUCUGAACGCGUCGGGGUCGCCGAAAGCCGGUAGGUUUACAAAGAGACGGAUUUAUUUAUUUUUCUACUAUCAUCGGUUGGUCUACUUCAAUACUUGUACCAAACAUAAACAUUGAGCAAAACAUUGAAUCCAUACAGACCUGCAAUAAACUUCAUGCAUGUGUCGCAAA